UGUGGGAGCGGGCUUGCCCGCGAAGGCGUUGUGCCAUCCAACUUAUUUUUUGCUGACAGACCGCUUUCGCGGGCAAGCCCGCUCCCACA
Molecule: non-coding RNA, 89 nt
Filed under: Pseudomonas tolaasii NCPPB 2192
Lineage: Bacteria; Pseudomonadati; Pseudomonadota; Gammaproteobacteria; Pseudomonadales; Pseudomonadaceae
Source: RNAcentral